UACACUUGGCGCCGCUCAGGUGCAGCUUAACGCUGCUGAAAAGGGAAGCAGGUGAAACGCCUGCACUGUACCCGCAACUGUAAUACGCGCUGCAAGCAACAGCCACUGGUACCUUACCGGGAAGGCGCUUGUGGGGUAUCGCGUUAAGUCAGGAGACCUGCCCGGGCUUACAUAACGUC
This 179-nucleotide non-coding RNA is filed under the name Rheinheimera nanhaiensis E407-8. Lineage: Bacteria; Pseudomonadati; Pseudomonadota; Gammaproteobacteria; Chromatiales; Chromatiaceae. The record is from RNAcentral. RNAcentral also lists the same sequence under 1 other name.